Felis catus (domestic cat) is the source of this 1429-nucleotide long non-coding RNA. RefSeq lists it as uncharacterized. NCBI's taxonomy places the organism in Eukaryota, Metazoa, Chordata, Mammalia, Carnivora, Felidae. The record is from RefSeq and is a predicted model, not a curated record. The transcript is spliced from 3 exons.
CUCACCAGCAUCUGUUGUUUCCUGAUUUGUUCAUUUUAGCCACUCUGACCGAAUGAAAGACUCUGGACUGUCUCUGAGAAGAAUGAGCUGGGAGUCAGUCUAGUCAUCAGGACCACCAUAGACCUAUUACCGAGAGAUCCUCUUACUCAGCCUGCCUCAAAUAUCCAACUGGCUGCUGGAUACGUCAGCCUGGUUUCCCACCAGCCAAGAUGUGCACUAAUUGCGUGUGCAAUUCAGAACUGAGGUAUGCAGGGUUUAACUCAUUGUACCUCCACCCCUGUCCCCAGAAAGCCCCAGUCCUCUUUCUGAGUGUGUGACCUAGGCUCCUUGCUCACCACUAAAUCUCCUGAUUUGUCUGGCACAUGCCUCGCACACCUUCCCACUCCACUCUCUAGUCCUAUUUUCUCUCAGCCCUGAAGGUUACAGUAGCCUCUUCCCUGGCCUCUCAGUUGCAAAAUUCGGGCCCUCCAGCCUAUCUUCCUCUGCAUUGCCCCCAGAGUUCUCUCUUGAACGUGCAAAUCUUACCAUGUCACUUCCUGUAGAGAAUGUCUCUGUGACUGGCUGUCACCCUUGGGUUAACAGGAAAACGUAACCUGGCAUUCAAGGCCUUUUGUCACUCAGCGCUUGUCAUCCCUCAUCCCCAGGUUUAUGCCUCCUUGCUUCUUGUCUGCAGUCACUGAUGGGGCUGAUGGACACCCUUGCCCUUUUGCACCUGCUGUUCCAGUGGCCUGGAAUGUCCUCCCCCAUCUUGUCUGGCAAACUUCUCCUCAGCAUUAAAUUCCACAUUUGUCAACCCUGUGGUGAAGCCCCAGCCAAACAUGGAAACAGUCACUCUCUCUACACUUGCUUUGUAGAAUGGAGCAUGAAGUUGGCUUAGAGACAGCUGAGAUGGACCAGCCAAGAGGUGGUGGUGGUGGAAAGUAAGGCAGUAGCUGGGGAAUGGAAUGAAGAAGGUCUCGGAUGUACUCCCAGUGUAGGGUUUUCGGGACCUGCUGACAGAUUGGAUGUGGGGAAGAGAAGGGGGGAGGAUUCCAGGAGGCCGUAGCCUCUAAUCAGAGGAAGCAGCUACAACAGCAGAAAGAAAAUUACAAGGAAAAAUACUCACAUGCUGAUCACCCAAGUUGAAUACAUUUUAACUCUUACCUCAGUCUCAUUUUUACUCCCUUCUAUCUCCAUCCCCUACAUCCUCCCCACUUCCCACCCCUACACACAUGGAUUAGUUUGAAGUAAACCCAGACAUCUUAUAAUUUCCUCUGGAAAUUAUCCUAGCCUGGGUCUCUAAAACAUUAUCACUCCUAAAAAAGUUAAGAGGAAAAGAAUACAACAAAAAAAUUAAUGUCAUUAUAUCCUCAGAUAUACAUUUAGUGUUUACAUUUUCCUGAUUGUCUUUUUUUAAGUAGGUGGUUUUUCUUUCUUUUCUUUUCUUUUC